GCCUGGCUGGCUCAGUUUGUAGAGCAUGCAACUCUUGAUCUCAGGGUCAUGAGUUCAAGCCCCAUGUGGGGCA
This 73-nucleotide transfer RNA is filed under the name Felis catus (domestic cat). It matches the Rfam family "tRNA". Rfam says of the family: Transfer RNA (tRNA) molecules are approximately 80 nucleotides in length. Their secondary structure includes four short double-helical elements and three loops (D, anti-codon, and T loops). Further hydrogen bonds mediate the characteristic L-shaped molecular structure. tRNAs have two regions of fundamental functional importance: the anti-codon, which is responsible for specific mRNA codon recognition, and the 3' end, to which the tRNAs corresponding amino acid is attached (by aminoacyl-tRNA synthetases). tRNAs cope with the degeneracy of the genetic code in two manners: having more than one tRNA (with a specific anti-codon) for a particular amino acid; and 'wobble' base-pairing, i.e. permitting non-standard base-pairing at the 3rd anti-codon position. RNAcentral also lists the same sequence under 6 other names. The record is from Rfam by way of RNAcentral. Lineage: Eukaryota; Metazoa; Chordata; Mammalia; Carnivora; Felidae.